Molecule: ribosomal RNA, 497 nt
Filed under: uncultured bacterium
Lineage: Bacteria
Description: partial 16S ribosomal RNA
Rfam family: Bacterial small subunit ribosomal RNA
Source: RNAcentral
GAUGAACGCUGGCGGCGUGCCUAAUACAUGCAAGUCGAGCGAACGGACGAGAAGCUUGCUUCUCUGAUGUUAGCGGCGGACGGGUGAGUAACACGUGGAUAACCUACCUAUAAGACUGGGAUAACUUCGGGAAACCGUAGCUAAUACCGGAUAAUAUUUUGAACCGCAUGGUUCAAAAGUGAAAGACGGUCUUGCUGUCACUUAUAGAUGGAUCCGCGCUGCAUUAGCUAGUUAGUAAGGUAACGGCUUACCAAGGCAACGAUGCAUAGCCGACCUGAGAGGGUGAUCGGCCACACUGGAACUGAGACACGGUCCAGACUCCUACGGGAGGCAGCAGUAGGGAAUCUGACGCAAUGGGCGAAAGCCUGACGGAGCAACGCCGCGUGAGUGAUGAAGGUCUUCGGAUCGUAAAACUCUGUUAUUAGGGAAGAACAUAUGUGUAAGUAACUGUGCACAUCGUGACGGUACCUAAUCAGAAAGCCACGGCUAACUACGUG